Molecule: RNA transcript, 1113 nt
Organism: Juglans regia (Persian walnut)
Lineage: Eukaryota; Viridiplantae; Streptophyta; Magnoliopsida; Fagales; Juglandaceae
Gene name: selenoprotein H
Exons: 5
Source: RefSeq, a predicted model, not a curated record
AAAAGGAUAGUGCGCGCGUGUAUCCUACAGAGAGAUACACAGAGGGUUUCUAUCUAUUGGUUGGAUUAAUGGCGCCCAGAAAACGAAGAGUCGUGGAGGAAGAACCAGCAAAGCCCAAGUUGCCAACGAGGGUGACUCGGAGCGCGGCCAAGCGAGCGGCCAAUCCAAACUCGGCUGACUUCGUGUCUGAGGGGCCCCGGACCGACUUACCGAAGAAGAAGGCCAAGAAGGUCGUGAGGAAAGAAGAGCAAGGGAAGGAAAUUUCGAAAGCGGCGAAGACGAAGACCAUAGUGAUUGAGCACUGCAAACAAUGCAAUUCAUUCAAGACAAGGGCCAUUAGGGUGAAAGAAGGUUUGAAGAAAGGUGUUUCUGGUGUCACAGUGCUGGUCAAUCCCAAUAAGCCGAGAAAGGGUUGCUUUGAAAUAAGGGUGGAUGGUGGUGAGACGUUCAUCAGUCUUCUGGUACUGGCAGCGCAAAUGUCAUCGACUGUCACAAAUAUUCUGAUGAAGAAUUAAGUUCAUCAUGUUUUGUCCUCUUCAAAUAUGGAGCUACUGCAAAUAUGAUGGACAUGAAGCGACCAUUUGCACCAAUGAAGGCUCUGGAGAUUGACAAAGUCAUCUCUGAUAUUAUUGACAAGAUCAAAUGAUAACCAAGUACUUGCAUGUGGAUUUUGGUGUUUGCCGUGACAGUGAUUUUGUUGUAGUAAAACGCGAAGUUAAACACUUCCUCUUACGGUAGAAACCUUAUUACUAAUAUCUGUUCGUUCGCUUUACUAUUUUCCAGUAGUACUAACACUGUGAGCUGUGAAGAUGAGGGUACUUAGACAUUGACCGUCAUUCUGGAUAUUGUCGACUGGGUGAGGUGAUGCAUACAGGUUAGGCCCAUUUAACAAUUUGAUUGUCGUAACAGCACCUUUUUUGUUAGUGCUUGAAGGAAGCAAAGUUGCCUUCAUGGUAAAAAGAAUUUCCAUUGAUUUUGUGUGCUCUGUCCAUUGCUUUGAUAGUCAUUGUUUUCUUGCUGCUUGCUUUGUCUUUCAUUUAUGUUUUUUGUUCCUCUAUUGGGUCAAUAUUAUUGUAAUUGUUACUAAAAUAAUAACGGAAAUUACAUUUUGCA